RNAcentral lists this ribosomal RNA (454 nucleotides) under uncultured bacterium. Its description in RNAcentral is "bacterial SSU rRNA". It matches the Rfam family "Bacterial small subunit ribosomal RNA", at positions 29 to 526 of the family's 1533-position model. The record is from RNAcentral.
AACGAACGCUGGCGGCAGGCUUAACACAUGCAAGUCGAACGCUCGUAGCAAUACGGGAGUGGCAGACGGGUGAGUAACGCGUGGGAACAUACCCCUUGGUUCGGAAUAACUCAGGGAAACUUGAGCUAAUACCGGAUACGACCGUGAGGUGAAAGAUUCAUCGCCGAGGGAUUGGCCCGCGUCCGAUUAGCUAGUUGGUGUGGUAACGGCGCACCAAGGCGACGAUCGGUAGCUGGUCUGAGAGGAUGAUCAGCCACAUUGGGACUGAGACACGGCCCAAACUCCUACGGGAGGCAGCAGUGGGGAAUAUUGGACAAUGGGCGCAAGCCUGAUCCAGCCAUGCCGCGUGAGUGAUGACGGCCUUAGGGUUGUAAAGCUCUUUCGCCAGGGACGAUAAUGACGGUACCUGGAUAAGAAGCCCCGGCUAACUUCGUGCCAGCCGCCGCGGUAAAAC